Long non-coding RNA from Orbicella faveolata, 852 nucleotides. RefSeq lists it as uncharacterized. The record is from RefSeq and is a predicted model, not a curated record. NCBI's taxonomy places the organism in Eukaryota, Metazoa, Cnidaria, Anthozoa, Scleractinia, Merulinidae.
AGUUUUCUGUUAAAAGCAGAUGGCUUAUUCAGUCUUCCUAUCAUUUCUCAACGGGAGUGGCAACCAUGGGAAAACUCGAAUAAGGAGGUGUUUUACAGAAUUUCAUUUACCGGCGCCAAGGUCUCAUUUCCCGGAGGCUGAGUUCCGGAACCAGGGUAUAAAAGCCCUCAAACGUAGUUAAAUAUCACAGAUAUUCACCUACAGGUCUGCGAGAUUGUGAGCUUUUGAUUAUAGCAAUCUAAAACGUUAACAUGAAUCAGCUUAAAUUGAUCCUUCUAAUCGGCUGCCUAACUUCUUUCUUGUUCGCCGAACUGGCCAACGCACACUUUCGUCUCGGCCGGGGAAUGGAGCGAGGCGGCGCACUGCCCCUGGAUGAAAGGAGGACCGCCCCGCUAGAUGAAAGGUUCGAGGACGCUCGCGCUGAAGCCAAGAGAGAAAUGCUCUUACAACGCCUGGAAAAUCUAUUAGAUAAGUAUGAAGCAAGAGUGAGGCGAAGCGAAGAAACAGAGAAUUAACCAAAGGGCCGCAGGCGGUAAACACGGAUUGUUAUAAGAACUGAACAAUAAAUUUCCCGACAGAGAUAUGGAAUACUCGAGAUAUUUCAUGUCCAGUUGAAUGUGUAAUAUAUAAAAUAACGUCACUUCCCUAAUUCCGCGCCUAAUUCUGUAAAGUUUUAAGCUUAAACUAGAUAACAUUAGUUAAUAAUGUAAAAAGUCGCCUUUCUUGACCAUUAUCUGUAAAAGCUUAAGUUAUCACUGUUGUUGUUUGCCAAUAAUUUCUUUACGUAGUUCAAAAUUCUUGAGUCGUCACUUUUCAAUAUUAUGGACAAUAAAGUACUUAAGAUCAUUCGAA